CUUCCCUUCCCUGUGCCCAAUAAAAAACUCACAACCCUCCCCAAUGCAAAAAGGUUGGGUUGUCAUAUACUGGCCUUACAAAAUACAGUACCCUAACUCAUUUAAAAAAGAAAGCUCACCUGUGUUAGAUUGCGUUUGAAGGGCGUCUCUAUAGCUCAUGGUUAAUGGUCUAUGUUGGUUCUCUUUCCCCAUCAUCUGUCUUUGCUGCUGGAUACUUCAACAAUGAAUAUCUGUUGUAGUACAACACCGUAGUUAUGUUCAAUGAUGUUCAAACCUCAGGCAUUUACGGCUACUGUAGUACAAUAAUGAGGUUAUGUUCAAUGAAGUUCAAAACUCAGGUGUUUACUGAGCUACCUGUCGUCACUAGGCAGACAACUUUACAGGCAUAGGCUCUCGAGCACUGGCUCAUUCUUCGUUUGCUAUUUAUUAAAGUUAUAACUAAAUAUUUAAAAGCUGCAACAUAUAAAACAAGAUACAACAGAGCACAAUGUUUGGAAAAUCACAACAACAUAAACAUCAGGCACAGUUUUAUGUCAAGAUUGCAAGGACCUAUUCUAUCCAGAUACAAUGCGUCGGUGGGCCCAGUGGUGUGUGCUGAAUCUGGUGAGACUGAUGCUGUGGCUGUUAGCCCUGGCUAUACUGACUGUCCUGGUAGCCCCUGACCUGCUGUGGAGCCUGACUGGGGGAGAGCCAUAGGAGGUGUUGACGAAAAGCCCCUUUUGUUCUACAGUAUGUCCCAAAUGACCUCUUCUGUCUAUAAAAUCCAGAUGAAGGCUACAUGCUGAAACAAAUUGGUUUUUCAAAACAAAUAUUUAUUU
This 818-nucleotide long non-coding RNA is filed under the name Salmo salar (Atlantic salmon). RNAcentral describes it as "lncRNA (ENSSSAG00000104522.1)". The record is from RNAcentral. Lineage: Eukaryota; Metazoa; Chordata; Actinopteri; Salmoniformes; Salmonidae.